Molecule: transfer RNA, 72 nt
Filed under: Danionella translucida
Lineage: Eukaryota; Metazoa; Chordata; Actinopteri; Cypriniformes; Danionidae
Also listed under: 1 other name
Rfam family: tRNA
About the family: Transfer RNA (tRNA) molecules are approximately 80 nucleotides in length.
Source: Rfam by way of RNAcentral
GGUUCUAUGGUGUAAUGGUUAGCACUCUGAACUCUGAAUCCAGCGAACCGAGUUCAAAUCUCGGUAGGACCU